GAAAUGCGAUAAGUAAUGUGAAUUGCAGAAUUCAGUGAAUCAUCGAAUCUUUGAACGCACCUUGCGCUCCUUGGUAUUCCUUGGAGCAUGCCUGUUUGAGUAUCAUGAAAUCUUCAAAGUAAAUCUUUUGUUAACUCAAUUGGUUUCUACUUUGGUAUUGGAGGUCUUUGCAGCUUCACACCUGCUCCUCUUUGUUCAUUAGCUGGAUCUCAGUGUUAUGCUUGGUUCCACUCGGCGUGAUAAGUUAUCUAUCGCUGAGGACACUGUAAAAGGUGGCCAAUGUAAAUGCAGAUGAACCGCUUCUAAUAGUCCAUUGACUUGGACAAUACUUUUAUGAUCUGAUCUCAAAUCAGGUAGGACUACCCGCUGAACUUAAGC
This 378-nucleotide unclassified non-coding RNA is filed under the name plant metagenome. Its description in RNAcentral is "partial contains 5.8S ribosomal RNA, internal transcribed spacer 2, and large subunit ribosomal RNA". The stretch from base 1 to 105 matches the Rfam family "5.8S ribosomal RNA", at positions 50 to 154 of the family's 154-position model. The record is from RNAcentral.